This 450-nucleotide ribosomal RNA is filed under the name uncultured bacterium. RNAcentral's name for it is "partial 16S ribosomal RNA". It matches the Rfam family "Bacterial small subunit ribosomal RNA", at positions 354 to 796 of the family's 1533-position model. The record is from RNAcentral.
GUGGGGAAUAUUGGACAAUGGGCGAAAGCCUGAUCCAGCCAUGCCGCGUGUGUGAAGAAGGUCUUCGGAUUGUAAAGCACUUUAAGUUGGGAGGAAGGGCAGUAAGUUAAUACCUUGCUGUUUUGACGUUACCGACAGAAUAAGCACCGGCUAACUUCGUGCCAGCAGCCGCGGUAAUACGAAGGGUGCAAGCGUUAAUCGGAAUUACUGGGCGUAAAGCGCGCGUAGGUGGUUCAGCAAGUUGAAGGUGAAAUCCCCGGGCUCAACCUGGGAACUGCCUCCAAAACUACUGAGCUAGAGUACGGUAGAGGGUAGUGGAAUUUCCUGUGUAGCGGUGAAAUGCGUAGAUAUAGGAAGGAACACCAGUGGCGAAGGCGACUACCUGGACUGAUACUGACACUGAGGUGCGAAAGUGUGGGGAGCAAACAGGAUUAGAAACCCUUGUAGUCC